This is a long non-coding RNA of Myiozetetes cayanensis, 502 nucleotides long. RefSeq lists it as uncharacterized. The record is from RefSeq and is a predicted model, not a curated record. NCBI's taxonomy places the organism in Eukaryota, Metazoa, Chordata, Aves, Passeriformes, Tyrannidae. The transcript has 3 exons.
UAGUGGGAACUCUGUUCGGUACUGUGAAUCUCUCCAACUUCAACAACAUACAGAUCCUCUGUCUUUACUCCAGGUGACAACAGAGGAAGUGAGGGAAAACAGUGUACCAGAAAUCAUCAGGAGCAUCUCCUUGUGCUACUCCCCAGUCUGCCAGUCUGGUCUGCUUUUUAUCACCACCAAUUGUCACACUGUACAUGAGGAGUAUGGCAACACUGGUCCAAGAGUGCUUUUCUUAUUCCCAUGAAGAUCUGUCUCACCCAGUAGUCCUGGCUGUGGGUGUGGGGACCAUGUUACAGAAGAGUCAGUCUCUCUGAAAUGCAAGAGAGAGGACUUAGGAACCCGAGGGAGUCACUUUCUGCUCCAUGAGCAUCUUGCAAGGAAGCUGCACGUGAGCAGAGCAGCGCUGCAUUGAAGCCAUGUGCGUAUGGGCACUUAUAUCUCCAAAUUAGAUGGCUGCAUACGGUUUAUCUGAAGGAUGCUCACCCAUCACCCAGACCCAGAC